AUGGGGACGGCUAUGGGGCAAUGGGGACGGCUAUGGGUCAGUGGGAUGGCUAUGGGUCAAUGGGACGGCUAUGGGGCAAUGGGGACGGCUAUGGGUCAGUGGGAUGGCUAUGGGUCAAUGGGAACGGCUAUGGGUCACUGGGACGGCUAUGGGUCAAUGGGACGGCUAUGGGAUUUCAAUGGGACGGCUAUGGGUCAAUGGGACGGCUAUGGGUCAGUGGGAUGGUCUAUGGGUCAAUGGGACGGCUAUGUGGUCAGUGGGAAUGGCUAUGGGGCAAUGGGACGGUCUAUAGGGGCAAUGGGACGGCUAUUGGGGUCAGUGGGAUGGCUUAUGGGUCAGUGGGAUGGCGUUAUGGGGCAAAGGGGACAGGCUAAUGGGCAGUGGGGGACGGCUAUGGGUCAAGUGGCGGACGGCUUAUGGGGCAUGGGGACGGCUAUGGGGCAAUGGGGACGGCUAUGGGGCAAUGGGGACGGCUAUGGGGCAAUGGGGAUGGCUAUGGUCAUAUGGGGGGCGCAAAUCAACCCCCCUACUCCCACCCCUCCGCACGUCCCUCGCUCUAUCAC
This 563-nucleotide long non-coding RNA is filed under the name Coturnix japonica (Japanese quail). RNAcentral's name for it is "lncRNA (ENSCJPG00005001869.1)". Lineage: Eukaryota; Metazoa; Chordata; Aves; Galliformes; Phasianidae. The record is from RNAcentral.